ACCCGCUGAACUUAAGCAUAUCAAUAAGCGGAGGAAAAGAAACUAACAAGGAUUCCCCUAGUAACGGCGAGUGAAGCGGGAAGAGCUCAAAUUUGAAAUCUGGUAGCCUUCGGUUGCCCGAGUUGUAAUCUAGAGAAGUGUUUUCCGUGCCGGCCCAUGUACAAGUCCCUUGGAACAGGGCGUCAUAGAGGGUGAGAAUCCCGUCCUUGACAUGGACCCCCGGUGCUUUGUGAUACACUUUCAACGAGUCGAGUUGUUUGGGAAUGCAGCUCAAAAUGGGUGGUGAAUUCCAUCUAAAGCUAAAUAUUGGCGAGAGACCGAUAGCGAACAAGUACCGUGAGGGAAAGAUGAAAAGCACUUUGGAAAGAGAGUUAAACAGUACGUGAAAUUGUUGAAAGGGAAACGAUUGAAGUCAGUCAUGCUCUUGGGACUUACCUCCCUUGAGUGGGGUCAACAUCAGUUUUGAUCGAUGGAUAAAGGCACUAGGAAGGUAGCACUCUCGGGUGAACUUAUAGCCUAGCGUCAUAUACAUUGAUUGGGACUGAGGAACGCAGCAUGCCUUUUGGCCGGGAUUCGUCCACGUACAUGCUUAGGAUGUUGACAUAAUGGCUUU
Molecule: ribosomal RNA, 613 nt
Filed under: uncultured fungus
Lineage: Eukaryota; Fungi
Description: eukaryotic LSU rRNA
Rfam family: Eukaryotic large subunit ribosomal RNA
Source: RNAcentral